RNAcentral lists this ribosomal RNA (372 nucleotides) under uncultured bacterium. Its description in RNAcentral is "bacterial SSU rRNA". It matches the Rfam family "Bacterial small subunit ribosomal RNA", at positions 525 to 896 of the family's 1533-position model. The record is from RNAcentral.
ACGGAGGGAGCUAGCGUUAUUCGGAAUUACUGGGCGUAAAGCGUACGUAGGCGGUUAUUCAAGUCAGAGGUGAAAGCCCGGGGCUCAACCCCGGAACUGCCUUUGAAACUAGAUAGCUAGAAUCUUGGAGAGGUCAGUGGAAUUCCGAGUGUAGAGGUGAAAUUCGUAGAUAUUCGGAAGAACACCAGUGGCGAAGGCGACUGACUGGACAAGUAUUGACGCUGAGGUACGAAAGCGUGGGGAGCAAACAGGAUUAGAUACCCUGGUAGUCCACGCCGUAAACGAUGAUAACUAGCUGUUCGGGCACUUGGUGCUUGAGUGGCGCAGCUAACGCAUUAAGUUAUCCGCCUGGGGAGUACGGUCGCAAGAUUA